Molecule: transfer RNA, 24 nt
Filed under: Macropus fuliginosus (western gray kangaroo)
Lineage: Eukaryota; Metazoa; Chordata; Mammalia; Diprotodontia; Macropodidae
Description: partial tRNA-Pro
Source: RNAcentral
UAGGGUGUGUUGCCUUCUUCUUGA